GACAAUGAAUACGUGUCUGGAACUCUGAGG
This 30-nucleotide non-coding RNA is filed under the name Homo sapiens (human). The record is from RNAcentral. Lineage: Eukaryota; Metazoa; Chordata; Mammalia; Primates; Hominidae.